RNAcentral lists this transfer RNA (71 nucleotides) under Capra hircus (goat). It matches the Rfam family "tRNA". From Rfam's summary of the family: Transfer RNA (tRNA) molecules are approximately 80 nucleotides in length. Their secondary structure includes four short double-helical elements and three loops (D, anti-codon, and T loops). Further hydrogen bonds mediate the characteristic L-shaped molecular structure. tRNAs have two regions of fundamental functional importance: the anti-codon, which is responsible for specific mRNA codon recognition, and the 3' end, to which the tRNAs corresponding amino acid is attached (by aminoacyl-tRNA synthetases). tRNAs cope with the degeneracy of the genetic code in two manners: having more than one tRNA (with a specific anti-codon) for a particular amino acid; and 'wobble' base-pairing, i.e. permitting non-standard base-pairing at the 3rd anti-codon position. The record is from Rfam by way of RNAcentral. RNAcentral also lists the same sequence under 1 other name. Lineage: Eukaryota; Metazoa; Chordata; Mammalia; Artiodactyla; Bovidae.
UCCCUGGUGGCUCAGAUGGUAAAGAAUCUGCCUGCAAUGCAGGAGACCUGGGUUCGAUCCUGGCUCAGGAG